RNAcentral lists this non-coding RNA (45 nucleotides) under Trichobilharzia regenti. The record is from RNAcentral. Lineage: Eukaryota; Metazoa; Platyhelminthes; Trematoda; Strigeidida; Schistosomatidae.
AUCUAGUCGACGAGUCUCAAACAGGACGAAAUUCAAAUCCUGAAU